AGUAGUCAUACACUUGUCUUAAAGAUGAAGCCAUGCAUGUGUAAGUAUGAACUAAUUCAGACUAUGAAAUUAUGAAUGGCUCAUUAAAUUAGUUGUAGUUUUUUUAAUGGUAUCUACUAAUUAAAUAACUAUAGUAAUUCUAGAGCAAAUACAUGCAACAAACCCUAACUUCUGAAAAUGAUGCAUUUUUUAGAUAAAAGGUCGACGCAAGCAUUGCCUAUUGAUCUAAUGAUUCAUGAUAACUCGAUGGAUUGCAUGGCCUUUGUGUCGAUGAUGCAUCAUUCAAAUUUUUAUCCUAUAAACUUUUGAUGGUAGGAUAAUGGCCUACUAUGGUGGUGAUGGGUGAUGGAGAAUUAAGGUUUGAUUUUAGAAAAGGAGCCUAAGAAAUGGCUACCACAUCCAAGGAAGGCAGCAGUGCACAAUUUACCUAAUCCUGACAUAGGGUGCUAGUGACAAUAAUUCACAACACUAGGCUCUAUGAGUUUGGUAAUUGGAAUGAGUACAAUCUAAAUCCCUUAAUAAGGAUCCAUUUAAGGGCAAGUCUAGUGCCAAUAGCCAUGAUAAUUCUAGCUUUAAUAGCAUUUAUUGAAGUUGUUGCAGUUAAAAAGCUUAUAGUUGGAAUUAGGUUUGCAUUGUCUGAUUUGCCUCACAGUAAGCACUGAUCUACUUAUCCCUACUACCAGUAAUGCACUCCUAUUCUUAACUAGUUGAGUUAUUCCUCCGGCACUAUUAUUUUGAAAAAAAUUAGAGUGCUCAAAGCAAGCCUAUGCUUAUAUACAUUAGCAUGGGAUAACAUCAUAGGAUUUUGAUCCUAUAGUGUUGGCCUUCAGGAUCGGAGUAAGGAUUAAAAGGGACAGUCAGGGACAUUCGUAUUUCAUAGUCAAAAGUGAAAUUCUUGGAUUUAUGAAAGAUGAACAACUAUGAAAGCAUUUGCCAAGGCUAUUUUCAUUAUUCAAGAAUAAAAGUUAGGGCUUGAAGAUGAUCAGAUAUUGUCCUAGUCUUAACCAUAAAUAAUGCCGACCAGGGAUCGAUGGAUGUUACUUUUAGGACUCCAUCGACAACUUAUGAGAGAUCAAAGUCUUUGGGUUUAGAGGGGAGUAUGGUUACAAGGCUGAAACUUAAAGGAAUUGAUGGAAGGGCACCACCAAGAGUGGAGCCUACAUCUUAAUUUGACUCAACAUGGGGAAACUUACCAAGUAUAGAUAUAGUAAGGAUUGACAAACUGAAAGUUUUUUCUUGAUUCUAUGGGUGGUAGUGCAUGGCCAUUCUUACUUGAUGGAGUGAUUUAUCUGCUUAAUUCUGUUAAUGAAUGAGACCUCAACUUGCUAACUAGCUACGUGAAGGUGAUUUUUUGUGGCUAGCUUCUUAGAAGGACUAUGGUCACUUAGGCCAAAGAAGUUUAAGGCAAUAACAAGUUUGUGAUGCCUUUAGAUGUUUUGGGCCACAUGCACCCUACAUUGAUGUAUUCAACAAGUCCAUAGCCUUGGUCGACAAGCUUGGGUAAUCUUUGAAAUGUCAUCAUGAAAAUGAUAGAUCAUUGUAAUUGUUGGUCUUCAAUGAGGAAUUCCUAGUUCGUGCAAGUCAUCAACUCGAUGGACUAUGUCAUUGCCUUCUGUACACACUGCCCGACACUUUUACUAAUUAAAUGGUCUGAUGAAGUGUUUGGAUCAUGGUAACAUUGAUGGUUCAUUGGCCAUGAUGUCACGAGAAGUCCACUCAACCUUAUCAUUUAAAGGAAGAAGAAGUCGCAAAAGGUUUCCGUAGGUGAACCUACAGAAG
Molecule: ribosomal RNA, 1779 nt
Filed under: Durio zibethinus
Lineage: Eukaryota; Viridiplantae; Streptophyta; Magnoliopsida; Malvales; Malvaceae
Description: SSU rRNA
Rfam family: Eukaryotic small subunit ribosomal RNA
Source: RNAcentral